This 219-nucleotide ribosomal RNA is filed under the name uncultured bacterium. RNAcentral's name for it is "partial 16S ribosomal RNA". It matches the Rfam family "Bacterial small subunit ribosomal RNA", at positions 132 to 334 of the family's 1533-position model. The record is from RNAcentral.
CCGGGUGGGUGGAUAACUUUCCGAAAGGAAGGCUAAUACAGCAUGAGACCACGGUACCGAAAGGGAUUGAGGUCAAAGCCGGCCAAUUCAUGAAAGCUGGUGCCUGAGGAUGAGCCUGCGGCCCAUCAGCUAGUUGGUAGGGUAAUGGCCUACCAAGGCGAAGACGGGUAGCUGGUCUGAGAGGAUGAUCAGCCACACUGGAACUGAGACACGGUCCAG